Salvia miltiorrhiza (redroot sage) is the source of this 310-nucleotide long non-coding RNA. RefSeq lists it as uncharacterized. NCBI's taxonomy places the organism in Eukaryota, Viridiplantae, Streptophyta, Magnoliopsida, Lamiales, Lamiaceae. The record is from RefSeq and is a predicted model, not a curated record. The transcript is spliced from 2 exons.
UCCUCUUUUCCCUAUAUCUAAAUCCCCAAUUCAAAAAUCAAAAUCCUAGGGUUUCUACCUCUCUUCAUCCCCUCUGGAAUUCGUCUCUCCGACGAAGCCUGCCGCCCCGCCGUCGUCUCUGUCACGCCGCCGCCUCUUCUGACUCAGGAAUGGGUGAUUCGAGAUAGUUUGAAACGGUUUCAUUUCAUCGUGGCAGUUCAUCUACAGCCCAAGACUGCCCCUUUUAUUUUUUUGAAUUAACUGUUGUAACUAAACGUAUUCUGUAGACGUUAAAGAAAAUUGAUAUUAUCUCUGCGGUUCUUGAUUAUUA